CGGACGGGUGAGUAACACGUGGGAACGUGCCUUUAGGUUCGGAAUAGCUCCUGGAAACGGGUGGUAAUGCCGAAUGUGCCCUUCGGGGGAAAGAUUUAUCGCCUUUAGAGCGGCCCGCGUCUGAUUAGCUAGUUGGUGAGGUAAUGGCUCACCAAGGCGACGAUCAGUAGCUGGUCUGAGAGGAUGACCAGCCACAUUGGGACUGAGACACGGCCCAAACUCCUACGGGAGGCAGCAGUGGGGAAUCUUGCGCAAUGGGCGAAAGCCUGACGCAGCCAUGCCGCGUGAAUGAUGAAGGUCUUAGGAUUGUAAAAUUCUUUCACCGGGGACGAUAAUGACGGUACCCGGAGAAGAAGCCCCGGCUAACUUCGUGCCAGCAGCCGCGGUAAUACGAAGGGGGCUAGCGUUGCUCGGAAUUACUGGGCGUAAAGGGCGCGUAGGCGGACAUUUAAGUCAGGGGUGAAAUCCCAGAGCUCAACUCUGGAACUGCCUUUGAUACUGGGUGUCUUGAGUGUGAGAGAGGUAUGUGGAACUCCGAGUGUAGAGGUGAAAUUCGUAGAUAUUCGGAAGAACACCAGUGGCGAAGGCGACAUACUGGC
This 599-nucleotide ribosomal RNA is filed under the name Aeromicrobium ginsengisoli. RNAcentral's name for it is "bacterial SSU rRNA". It matches the Rfam family "Bacterial small subunit ribosomal RNA", at positions 99 to 733 of the family's 1533-position model. The record is from RNAcentral. Lineage: Bacteria; Bacillati; Actinomycetota; Actinomycetes; Propionibacteriales; Nocardioidaceae.